RNAcentral lists this transfer RNA (69 nucleotides) under Ictidomys tridecemlineatus (thirteen-lined ground squirrel). RNAcentral describes it as "Spermophilus tridecemlineatus (thirteen-lined ground squirrel) tRNA". It matches the Rfam family "tRNA". Rfam says of the family: Transfer RNA (tRNA) molecules are approximately 80 nucleotides in length. Lineage: Eukaryota; Metazoa; Chordata; Mammalia; Rodentia; Sciuridae. The record is from Rfam by way of RNAcentral.
GGGGUUGUGGCUUAGUGGUAGAGUGCUUGCCUUGUAUGUGCAAGACUGUGGGUUCAAUCCUCAGCACCA